AAGACACUCCCUCUGUCCGGAAAUACUUGUCAUCAAAAUGGAUAAAAGGAAAUGUAUCUAGACGUAUUUUAGUUUUAGAUACAUCUCUUUUUAUCCAUUUUGAUGAUAAGUAUUUUCAGACGGAGGGAGUAGAAA
Non-coding RNA from Triticum aestivum (bread wheat), 135 nucleotides. The record is from Rfam. Lineage: Eukaryota; Viridiplantae; Streptophyta; Magnoliopsida; Poales; Poaceae.